This 276-nucleotide unclassified non-coding RNA is filed under the name uncultured fungus. RNAcentral's name for it is "sequence contains ITS1, 5.8S rRNA gene". The record is from RNAcentral. Lineage: Eukaryota; Fungi.
UAUUCGUAGGUGAACCUGCGUAUGGAUCAUUACCGUUUGAUAUGUGUAUCAACAUAUCAUAAAUUAUAACUUCGCACAAUCAUAUAUACAUGGUUGUGUCGCACCAUUAUGUAAAUAACAAGUCAUAGUGUAUAUACAUGUGACUUGUUUUACACUUUUCUAAUUCAACAAAUCAUUGUUGUUUUGUCAUUAAAUAUGAAUCGAAUCUAUAUAUACAGAAUUAAAAUAAUUCUGUACGGUGGAUCACUCGGCUCGUUAUUCGAUGAAGAACGCAGC